Molecule: ribosomal RNA, 528 nt
Filed under: Cronobacter sakazakii
Lineage: Bacteria; Pseudomonadati; Pseudomonadota; Gammaproteobacteria; Enterobacterales; Enterobacteriaceae
Description: bacterial SSU rRNA
Rfam family: Bacterial small subunit ribosomal RNA
Source: RNAcentral
UGGAGAGUUUGAUCCUGGCUCAGAUUGAACGCUGGCGGCAGGCCUAACACAUGCAAGUCGAACGGUAACAGGAAGCAGCUUGCUGCUUUGCUGACGAGUGGCGGACGGGUGAGUAAUGUCUGGGAAACUGCCUGAUGGAGGGGGAUAACUACUGGAAACGGUAGCUAAUACCGCAUAACGUCGCAAGACCAAAGAGGGGGACCUUCGGGCCUCUUGCCAUCGGAUGUGCCCAGAUGGGAUUAGCUAGUAGGUGGGGUAACGGCUCACCUAGGCGACGAUCCCUAGCUGGUCUGAGAGGAUGACCAGCCACACUGGAACUGAGACACGGUCCAGACUCCUACGGGAGGCAGCAGUGGGGAAUAUUGCACAAUGGGCGCAAGCCUGAUGCAGCCAUGCCGCGUGUAUGAAGAAGGCCUUCGGGUUGUAAAGUACUUUCAGCGGGGAGGAAGGCGAUAAGGUUAAUAACCUUGUCGAUUGACGUUACCCGCAGAAGAAGCACCGGCUAACUCCGUGCCAGCAGCCGCGGUA